This 443-nucleotide ribosomal RNA is filed under the name uncultured bacterium. Its description in RNAcentral is "partial 16S ribosomal RNA". It matches the Rfam family "Bacterial small subunit ribosomal RNA", at positions 338 to 795 of the family's 1533-position model. The record is from RNAcentral.
CCUACGGGCGGCAGCAGUGGGGAAUAUUGGGCAAUGGGCGCAAGCCUGACCCAGCAACGCCGCGUGAAGGAAGAAGGCUUUCGGGUUGUAAACUUCUUUUCUGAGGGACGAAGAAAGUGACGGUACCUCAGGACUAAGCCACGGCUAACUACGUGCCAGCAGCCGCGGUAAUACGUAGGCGGCAAGCGUUCUCCGGAUUUAUUGGGUGUAAAGGGAGCGUAGGCGGUAAUGCAAGUCUGGAGUGAAAGGCGGGGGCCCAACCCCCGGACUGCUGUGGAAACUGUGUAACUGGAGUGCAGGAGAGGCAGGCGGAAUUCCUAGUGUAGCGGUGAAAUGCGUAGAUAGUAGGAGGAACACCAGUGGCGAAGGCGGCCUGCUGGACUGUAACCGACGUUGAGGCUCGAAAGCGUGGGGAGCAAACAGGAUUAGAUACCCCUGUAGUC